AUUAAUUUCCCCUAAAAAUUGGUGUUUCUGGUUGUUCUACUGGUGGAGGAAUAGGAUCAGUCCUCCUAGGUUGCCUUACCCGUAUUCCAUUAUUAAAUGUGCACCUAAGUCUCUUUAGUAGAUUUUUAUUGAUGAUGUUAUAUCUAUCACUUUGAAUUGUUUCUUCAUCGGGUGGGAUGCAAAUGUCAUAGGUAUGAAGAAUUCUAGUGAUUAACCCCCCA
Molecule: long non-coding RNA, 221 nt
Filed under: Musa acuminata (dwarf banana)
Lineage: Eukaryota; Viridiplantae; Streptophyta; Magnoliopsida; Zingiberales; Musaceae
Description: long non-coding RNA (MACU_LNC011098)
Source: RNAcentral